CAACUGGGAUUGCCCUAGUAACGGCGAGUGAAGCGGCAAUAGCUCAAAUUUGAAAUCUGGCUCCUUUUAGGGGUCCGAGUUGUAAUUUGCAGAGGGUGCUUUGGCGUUGGUAGCGGUCUAAGUUCCUUGGAACAGGACAUCGCAGAGGGUGAGAAUCCCGUUUGUGGUCGCAUGCCUUCGCCGUGUAAAGCCCCUUCGACGAGUCGAGUUGUUUGGGAAUGCAGCUCUAAAUGGGAGGUAAAUUUCUUCUAAAGCUAAAUACUGGCCAGAGACCGAUAGCGCACAAGUAGAGUGAUCGAAAGAUGAAAAGCACUUUGGAAAGAGAGUCAAACAGCACGUGAAAUUGUUAAAAGGGAAGCGCUUGCAGCCAGACUUGCCCGUAGUUGCUCACCUAGGCUUUUGCCUGGGGCAUUCUUCUGCGGGCAGGCCAGCAUCAGUUUGGGCGGUCGGAUAAAGGUCUCUGUCAUGUAGCUUCCUUCGGGAAGAACUUAUAGGGGAGACGAAAUGCGACCAGCCCGGACUGAGGUCCGCGCUUCUGCUAGGAUGCUGGCGUAAUGGCUGUAAGCGGCCCGUCUUGAAACACGGACCAAGGAGUCUAACAUCUAUGCGAGUGUUUGGGUGUCAAGCCCGAGCGCGUAAUGAAAGUGAACGGAGGUGGGAACCCUUUGGGUGCACCAUCGACCGAUCCUGAUGUCUUCGGAUGGAUUUGAGUAAGAGCAUAGCUGUUGGGACCCGAAAGAUGGUGAACUAUGCUUGAAUAGGGUGAAGCCAGAGGAAACUCUGGUGGAGGCUCGCAGCGGUUCUGACGUGCAAAUCGAUCGUCAAAUUUGGGCAUAGGGG
Molecule: ribosomal RNA, 840 nt
Filed under: Stagonospora trichophoricola
Lineage: Eukaryota; Fungi; Ascomycota; Dothideomycetes; Pleosporales; Massarinaceae
Description: eukaryotic LSU rRNA
Rfam family: Eukaryotic large subunit ribosomal RNA
Source: RNAcentral